UACGUAGGGGGCGAGCGUUGCCCGGAUUCACUGGGCGUAAAGCGCGUGUAGGCGGUCUGUUAAGUCGGUUGUGAAAUCUCCGGGCUCAACUCGGAAACUGCGUCCGAUACUGGCAGACUUGAGGACGGUAGAGGUCGGUGGAAUACCCGGUGUACCGGUGAAAUGGGCAGAUAUCGGGUGGAACACCAGCGGCGAAGGCGGCCGACUGGGCCGUUCCUGACGCUGAGACGCGAAAGCCAGGGGAGCGAACCGG
RNAcentral lists this unclassified non-coding RNA (253 nucleotides) under uncultured Actinomycetes bacterium. RNAcentral's name for it is "uncultured actinobacterium contains 16S-23S intergenic spacer region". It matches the Rfam family "Bacterial small subunit ribosomal RNA", at positions 524 to 776 of the family's 1533-position model. Lineage: Bacteria; Bacillati; Actinomycetota; Actinomycetes. The record is from RNAcentral.